GCCUAACACAUGCAAGUCGAACGAGGUAAAUGAGAUGAAGUUUUCGGAUGGAUUCUUAUUUACCGAGUGGCGGACGGGUGAGUAACGCGUGGGUAACCUGCCUCAUACAGGGGGAUAGCAGCUGGAAACGGCUGGUAAUACCGCAUAAGCGCACGGUAUCGCAUGAUACAGUGUGAAAAACUCCGGUGGUAUGAGAUGGACCCGCGUCUGAUUAGCUGGUUGGUGAGGUAACGGCCCACCAAGGCGACGAUCAGUAGCCGACCUGAGAGGGUGACCGGCCACAUUGGGACUGAGACACGGCCCAGACUCCUACGGGAGGCAGCAGUGGGGAAUAUUGCACAAUGGAGGAAACUCUGAUGCAGCGACGCCGCGUGAGUGAAGAAGUAGUUCGCUAUGUAAAGCUCUAUCAGCAGGGAAGAUAGUGACGGUACCUGACUAAGAAGCUCCGGCUAAAUACGUG
Molecule: ribosomal RNA, 460 nt
Filed under: uncultured bacterium
Lineage: Bacteria
Description: bacterial SSU rRNA
Rfam family: Bacterial small subunit ribosomal RNA
Source: RNAcentral